This is a long non-coding RNA of Helianthus annuus (common sunflower), 504 nucleotides long. RefSeq lists it as uncharacterized. NCBI's taxonomy places the organism in Eukaryota, Viridiplantae, Streptophyta, Magnoliopsida, Asterales, Asteraceae. The transcript is spliced from 4 exons. The record is from RefSeq and is a predicted model, not a curated record.
UGUGCGUGGGGAACGACCAGAGCAGGAAGAAAAAGGGUAAAACCCUAAACUCCACAAAAUCUUCCAAUUGAAGGUGCAAUUGAAGACCAAACUUGGAUUUGAAUACAUAUAAACGAUCACCGAGCUAAGGGGAUCGUAAGUUUGACUCUGACAAGCUAGAUGGGAGCUUGGAAAUGAACGGGUCAAAUGUAUACAAGUUCAAGUAUGAAGCUCGCAAGGAUGCAAGGUUGCAGAAACAAACCUGCUGGAAAAUGGUGACCCUCGCGCCACGCGAAGGACCAAGAUGGAUGGGGCAUGACACGCGGCCACGGUCGCGGUAAAUGAUAUCGGUAUCCGGAUGAAGAUCAAGCGCCUAACAAGAACCGAACACACGAUAAAUGAAGCUUCCGCAUUUGAGUUUAAACCUUGUUAUCAAAAGUAAACUAUGUGAACAUUUGUUACUAUCUUUUGAAUGUUUUAAUCAUGUAUGAAUGAUAACUUAUAAAAAGUUUUUGAAAGGUCACA